This 499-nucleotide long non-coding RNA is filed under the name Monodelphis domestica (gray short-tailed opossum). RNAcentral's name for it is "lncRNA (ENSMODG00000047014.1)". The record is from RNAcentral. Lineage: Eukaryota; Metazoa; Chordata; Mammalia; Didelphimorphia; Didelphidae.
CAGAUAAGGAAAUGGAUCCCCCACAGUUGAAAGACACAGUUGUCCAGGGUCCUCAGUCCUGUUCAACGUGUCUGAAGUCCGUACCUGAAACCUAGCUCCAUUCCUCUUCAGGUGCUUCUGCCCCAGCUCUGGCACUGAGACCCGGGAGAACGUUAGACCUCUGUGCCCCUUGCUUAAAGGAACUCUGCUCCCAGUGGAUUUGUUAAUGGGGUUAGCAUUGUAAUGGGAGACUCUGAGUUUGCAGUGUGCUGUGAAGUCUGCGGGUGGCCGCCACCCUGGAGGCACGACUCUCAUCUAUUACUGGGAGAAGGCUGUAAAGAGAAACAAACGUCACCACAGGAGGACUGUCAGAGGAUUCAUGCCACGGCUGGAAGAGUUCUUCCGCAAGGUUUUACACAACAGCACUUGUGACAUGUCCAUCUUCCCCUCUGUCAGCAGCCCAGGAGCAUAAAACUGCUAACAACUAGGAUUAGAUUUUAUCCACCAUUUUAUCAGACAU